Molecule: ribosomal RNA, 456 nt
Filed under: uncultured bacterium
Lineage: Bacteria
Description: bacterial SSU rRNA
Rfam family: Bacterial small subunit ribosomal RNA
Source: RNAcentral
UACGGGAGGCAGCAGUGGGGAAUAUUGCACAAUGGGCGCAAGCCUGAUGCAGCCAUGCCGCGUGUAUGAAGAAGGCCUUCGGGUUGUAAAGUACUUUCAGCGGGGAGGAAGGCGAUGUGGUUAAUAACCGCAUCGAUUGACGUUACCCGCAGAAGAAGCACCGGCUAACUCCGUGCCAGCAGCCGCGGUAAUACGGAGGGUGCAAGCGUUAAUCGGAAUUACUGGGCGUAAAGCGCACGCAGGCGGUCUGUCAAGUCGGAUGUGAAAUCCCCGGGCUUAACCUGGGAACUGCAUUCGAACUGGCAGGCUAGAGUCUUGUAGAGGGGGUAGAAUUCCAGGUGUAGCGGUGAAAUGCGUAGAGAUCUGGAGGAAUACCGGUGGCGAAGGCGGGCCCCUGGGACAAAGACUGACGCUCAGGUGCGAAAGCGUGGGGAGCAAACGAGGAUUAGGAUAACC